UUCCGGUUGAUCCUGCCGGACCUGACUGCUAUCGGAUUGAUACUAAGCCAUGCGAGUCAUUGUAGCAAUACAAGGCAGACGGCUCAGUAACGCGUAGUCAACCUAACCUAUGGACGGGAAUAACCUCGGGAAACUGAGAAUAAUGCCCGAUAGAACACUAUGCCUGGAAUGGUUUGUGUUCCAAAUGAUUUAUCGCCGUAGGAUGGGACUGCGGCCUAUCAGUUUGUUGGUGAGGUAAUGGCCCACCAAGACUAUUACAGGUACGGGCUCUGAGAGGAGUAGCCCGGAGAUGGGUACUGAGACACGGACCCAGGCCCUAUGGGGCGCAGCAGGCGAGAAAACUUUGCAAUGUGCGAAAGCACGACAAGGUUAAUCCGAGUGGUUUGUGCUAAACAGACCUUUUGUUAGUCCUAGAAACACUAACGAAUAAGGGGUGGGCAAGUUCUGGUGUCAGCCGCCGCGGUAAAACCAGCACCUCAAGUGGUCAGGAUGAUUAUUGGGCCUAAAGCAUCCGUAGCCGGCUCUGUAAGUUUUCGGUUAAAUCUGUAUGCUCAACAUACAGGCUGCCGGGAAUACUGCGGAGCUAGGGAGUGGGAGAGGUAGACGGUACUCGGUAGGAAGGGGUAAAAUCCUUUGAUCUAUUGAUGACCACCUGUGGCGAAGGCGGUCUACCAGAACACGUCCGACGGUGAGGGAUGAAAGCUGGGGGAGCAAACCGGAUUAGAUACCCGGGUAGUCCCAGCUGUAAACUAUG
RNAcentral lists this ribosomal RNA (754 nucleotides) under uncultured archaeon. RNAcentral describes it as "bacterial SSU rRNA". It matches the Rfam family "Archaeal small subunit ribosomal RNA", at positions 1 to 762 of the family's 1478-position model. The record is from RNAcentral.